This 469-nucleotide ribosomal RNA is filed under the name uncultured bacterium. RNAcentral's name for it is "bacterial SSU rRNA". It matches the Rfam family "Bacterial small subunit ribosomal RNA", at positions 29 to 521 of the family's 1533-position model. The record is from RNAcentral.
AUUGAACGCUGGCGGCAUGCCUAACACAUGUAAGUCGAACGGCAGCACAGUAUGUAGCAAUACAUAUGGGUGGCGAGUGGCGGACGGGUGAGUAACGCGUGGGAAUCUGCCCUAUAGUGGGGGACAACCCGACGAAAGUCGGGCUAAUACCGCAUACGCCCUACGGGGAAAGGCUUCGGCCGCUAUUGGAUGAGCCCGCGUCGGAUUAGCUAGUUGGUGAGGUAAUGGCUCACCAAGGCGACGAUCCGUAGCUGGUCUGAGAGGACGAUCAGCCACACUGGGACUGAGACACGGCCCAGACUCCUACGGGAGGCAGCAGUGGGGAAUAUUGCACAAUGGGCGAAAGCCUGAUGCAGCAAUGCCGCGUGUGUGAAGAAGGCCUGCGGGUUGUAAAGCACUUUCGGUAGGGAAGAUAAAUGACGGUACCUACAGAAGAAGCACCGGCUAACUCCGUGCCAGCAGCCGCGGU